Molecule: long non-coding RNA, 532 nt
Filed under: Bos taurus (domestic cattle)
Lineage: Eukaryota; Metazoa; Chordata; Mammalia; Artiodactyla; Bovidae
Description: long non-coding RNA NONBTAT022523
Source: RNAcentral
AGAAGGCGAAAUGGGCUAAUUAUAACUUACAUUUGCUGGUUCUUUAUCAUGUAUAUACUAGAUUCUUUCCCAACAAGAAAGUUUUAAAAUAUUUUACAAAAUGAGUAAAAAUUGCAGAUUUUAUUAUUAAACCUUUUUCAACAAUUGGUAUACUCCUUGAAUCUAUUAGUUUUAUUUUACUCCUGUUCACACACAAAAACAGUAAAAUACAGUGUCAACUCAUGAUUUUUCUUAUCUCAAAAAUAUGUUUUCUUAGAAAAAAAUCAUAUAGGAUAUGAGUUUAAAUAUAUUUUAAUUGUAUACCAGUGUUGUUGCACUCUACUUUUGGUAAGAAUAGAAUGAAAGGAAACAAUGUUUCACUCAUAGCAUUUUAUCUCAGGCAUCACUUCUGAAAGGAUGUAUAAGGUUAGGCACCCAAAUUUCUCCUAUUGUAAGGUAAUCCCACAGAAAAAUUCUAAUUUUUAACUUGAAAAGCACCUACUUAUUAAGAGGAAACUUUCAGAACUUUAAAUAUAAUGUAAAAUAUGUCUAU